This 585-nucleotide ribosomal RNA is filed under the name uncultured bacterium. RNAcentral describes it as "partial 16S ribosomal RNA". It matches the Rfam family "Bacterial small subunit ribosomal RNA", at positions 355 to 1375 of the family's 1533-position model. The record is from RNAcentral.
UGGGGAAUUUUGGACAACGGGCGAAAGCCUGAUCCAGCAAUGCCGCGUGUGUGAAGAAGGCCUUCGGGUUGUAAAGCACUUUUGUCCGGAAAGAAAUCCUUGGCUCUAAUACAGUCGGGGGAUGACGGUACCGGAAGAAUAAGCACCGGCUAACUACGUGCCAGCAGCCGCGGUAAUACGUAGGGUGCAAGCGUUAAUCGGAAUUACUGGGCGUAAAGCGUGCGCAGGCGGUUUGCUAAGACCGAUGUGAAAUCCCCGGGCUCAACCUGGGAACUGCAUUGGUGACUGGCAGGCUAGAGUAUGGCAGAGGGGGGUAGAAUUCCACGUGUAGCAGUGAAAUGCGUAGAGAUGUGGAGGAAUACCGAUGGCGAAGGCAGCCCCCUGGGCCAAUACUGACGCUCAUGCACGAAAGCGUGGGGAGCAAACAGGAUUAGAUACCCUGGUAGUCCACGCCCUAAACGAUGUCAACUAGUUGUUGGGGAUUCAUUUCCUUAGUAACGUAGCUAACGCGUGAAGUUGACCGCCUGGGGAGUACGGUCGCAAGAUUAAAACUCAAAGGAAUUGACGGGGUCAUAGCUGUUUCCU